RNAcentral lists this ribosomal RNA (253 nucleotides) under uncultured bacterium. RNAcentral's name for it is "partial 16S ribosomal RNA". It matches the Rfam family "Bacterial small subunit ribosomal RNA", at positions 524 to 776 of the family's 1533-position model. The record is from RNAcentral.
GACGAACCGUGCGAACGUUGUUCGGAAUCACUGGGCUUAAAGGGCGCGUAGGCGGCUUACCAAGUCAGGGGUGAAAUCCUGCAGCUUAACUGUAGAAGUGCCUUUGAUACUGGCGAGCUCGAGGGAGAUAGGGGUGCGUGGAACUUCUGGUGGAGCGGUGAAAUGCGUUGAUAUCAGAAGGAACGCCGGUGGCGAAAGCGACGCACUGGAUCUCUACUGACGCUGAGGCGCGAAAGCUAGGGGAGCAAACGGG